UCAGCUCAAACAGCGGCACCUGAAGAAACAAAGGUGGAUAGAGAGAAGGUCCAGAGGCUGCUGGAGGAUCUGUGGGUGUGUGUAGCUCCUCCCUCAUCACACCUCCCUGCCAGGAGAAAACAGCAGUUAAAGGAGCACCUACAGGACAGCA
Salmo salar (Atlantic salmon) is the source of this 151-nucleotide non-coding RNA. NCBI's taxonomy places the organism in Eukaryota, Metazoa, Chordata, Actinopteri, Salmoniformes, Salmonidae. The record is from RefSeq and is a predicted model, not a curated record.